Molecule: ribosomal RNA, 254 nt
Filed under: uncultured bacterium
Lineage: Bacteria
Description: partial 16S ribosomal RNA
Rfam family: Bacterial small subunit ribosomal RNA
Source: RNAcentral
UACGAAGGGGGCUAGCGUUGCUCGGAAUGACUGGGCGUAAAGGGCGCGUAGGCGGAUGGCACAGUCAGAUGUGAAAUUCCCGGGCUUAACCUGGGGGCUGCAUUUGAUACGUGUUGUCUUGAGUUCGGAAGAGGGUCGUGGAAUUCCCAGUGUAGAGGUGAAAUUCGUAGAUAUUGGGAAGAACACCGGUGGCGAAGGCGGCGACCUGGUCCGUGCACUGACGCUGAGGCGCGAAAGCGUGGGGAGCAAACAGG